AAUCAAUUAAACUAACAAAUAACAACACUCAGGGCUGUAAAAAUUCAAAAAACAAACAUCAUUAACUAUACAAGUUUUUGUAGUUACGCGUAAUUGAAUAACCCCCCCCCUAUAAACUGCAUCACUAUAGUAUAACAUAAUAGUUGCGAGCUGUUGACAAAACAAAUGUUUUACCUAAAAGAGUUGGUAUGUCUAUAUACUCUACUUUGUUGUAUCUGACUAUUUUAUAAAUGAUCAAAUAAUUCUCACGGCAGUUCUUGACAACUGCUGCAGCAGGAACACUAAACAUUUGCUACCGUUAAAAUAAUACGACUAUUCAUAGAGUUAAAUUCGUUCAUCUUACAAAAUUACAACAAAAUUGUACCUAUAUAAAAUAUUUAAAUUUUUUUAUGUAAUGGUACUUACUGGGCUACUUGAGUAUAAUCUUAUUUUCAAAAACCGAAUACGAAUUCAAAACAUUAUAAUCGUAUGUAUAUUAUAAAACCUACACAAAUUAAAUACUAUUUCCAUCUCUUUCGCGGUUAUUUAAUAGUAAUAAGAUGAAUUCAAUUUAUAAUU
Molecule: non-coding RNA, 558 nt
Organism: Cinara cedri
Lineage: Eukaryota; Metazoa; Arthropoda; Insecta; Hemiptera; Aphididae
Source: the annotation of a GenBank genome assembly